UGGCGAACGGGUGAGUAAUAUAUCGGAACGUGCCUAGUAGCGGGGGAUAACUACUCGAAAGAGUAGCUAAUACCGCAUACGCCCUACGGGGGAAAGGGGGGGAUCGCAAGACCUCUCACUAUUAGAGCGGCCGAUAUCGGAUUAGCUAGUUGGUGGGGUAAAGGCCCACCAAGGCGACGAUCCGUAGCUGGUUUGAGAGGACGACCAGCCACACUGGGACUGAGACACGGCCCAGACUCCUACGGGAGGCAGCAGUGGGGAAUAUUGGACAAUGGGCGCAAGCCUGAUCCAGCAAUGCCGCGUGUGUGAAGAAGGUCUUCGGAUUGUAAAGCACUUUCGACGGGGACGAUGAUGACGGUACCCGUAGAAGAAGCCCCGGCUAACUUCGUGCCAGCAGCCGCGGUAAUACGAAGGGGGCUAGCGUUGCUCGGAAUGACUGGGCGUAAAGGGUGCGUAGGCGGCAAUGCAAGUCAGACGUGAAAUUCCCGGGCUUAACCUGGGGACUGCGUUUGAGAC
RNAcentral lists this ribosomal RNA (516 nucleotides) under uncultured Pseudomonadota bacterium. RNAcentral describes it as "bacterial SSU rRNA". It matches the Rfam family "Bacterial small subunit ribosomal RNA", at positions 96 to 633 of the family's 1533-position model. Lineage: Bacteria; Pseudomonadati; Pseudomonadota. The record is from RNAcentral.